Molecule: unclassified non-coding RNA, 345 nt
Filed under: soil metagenome
Description: partial contains 5.8S ribosomal RNA, internal transcribed spacer 2, and large subunit ribosomal RNA
Rfam family: 5.8S ribosomal RNA (bases 1-119)
Source: RNAcentral
GAUGAAGAACGUAGCGAAAUGCGAUACGUAAUGUGAAUUGCAAAUUCAGUGAAUCAUCGAGUCUUUGAACGCACAUUGCGCCCCCUGGUAUUCCGGGGGGCAUGCCUGUCCGAGCGUCAUUGCUGCCCUCAAGCACGGCUUGUGUGUUGGGCCCCGUCCUCCGAUCCCGGGGGACGGGCCCGAAAGGCAGCGGCGGCACUGCGUCCGGUCCUCGAGCGUAUGGGGCUUUGUCACCCGCUCUGUAGGCCCGGCCGGCGCUUGCCGAUCAACCCAAAUUUUUAUCCAGGUUGACCUCGGAUCAGGUAGGGAUACCCGCUGAACGUAAGCAUAUCAAUAAGCGGAGGA